AUGUGCUCUGUUCUUCAGUAUUUGUUUGUUUUUUCUAAGAAAAUAUCACAGCAACUGUACGCCACUUCUUCCGCCCUUAUGCAACCCAGCCGCUCCAACCGUCCCAUACUGUCUUAUCUUCCCCGUUGUUGUGUACAACCACCCAACGACCUGAUUUUCUCCAAACAAAAGAAAACAUAUGCUGCAUGUACCUCAAAUAUUUGGCAUUUGACGCUCCAUCUCCUAAUCUCUUCCACUUCCUCUCCCCCACGUUCUCCAUAUAAGAAACUGAUGGAUCGCCUUUUGAAGUCUGUGCUUUGCCUCACCUUAUUGCCUUCCCAUCGUCCUCCAGCACGGGUGGGUUCAGCCGCACCACUCAUACUGCACCGAUGGUGA
RNAcentral lists this ribosomal RNA (375 nucleotides) under Triticum aestivum (bread wheat). Its description in RNAcentral is "partial small subunit ribosomal RNA". Lineage: Eukaryota; Viridiplantae; Streptophyta; Magnoliopsida; Poales; Poaceae. The record is from RNAcentral.